AAAACCGUGUAACGAUACGUCUAAUAAGACUCACACAUCUUAUAUAACAUUAGAGCCUGUUGAUUUGCAACCCUCUGCGAAUAAGACAUCGAAAACACCGAAUUAUGAUACUAUACAAGAUGUACUCCUACCAAUGUCUUCGUUAUCUGCGCAAGGACCAAUAGUACAUUCUGAAACUACUCAAGAAAAUGAUGGAAAUGAAGGCGCAUUCAUAACUGAAAUGUAUAACAAGGAAAGCCAUUUCCAACCCUUAUCAGGACGGCGAAUAAUUGAUAUAAAUUAUUUUUUACAAAAAUUCCAAGAAAAAGCACGCCACAAUGAUCUAUUUGAUUGUAAAUCAAGCAACUUCUGCUUAGUUGGUGUAAGAAGACAUGGACUGAUUUCAAUCUUUAAAUUUAAAUGUAAUAUGUGUAAAGAAAUUUGUUCUAUUUCAUCUGAAACCACCAAAGAUACCGAGCAUGUAGAUGCUAAUAUAGCUGCUACCACUGGAGUUGUAGCCUGUGGUAUAGGUUUUUCUCAGAUUGAAGAGUUAUUUUCAGCAAUAAACAUUCCUAUAUUUUCUACAAAAUUCUUUAACCAAAUGCAAAAUAAACUUUAUAAGAAAUGGGAAGAAACUGCAUGUGAAACAAUGGAAGCCGCUGCCAAUAAAGAAAAAGAAAUUGCUAUAGCAGAUGGCCGGACCAAAAACGGGUAUGCUGUCAUAGAUGUCUAUGUGGAUGGAGCAUGGUGUGCCAGGUCAUAUGGUUCAAACUAUAAAGCUUCAUCAGGUGCAGCAGCCAUAAUUGGCAGAAAUACGGGUGAAGUUUUGUACUUUGGUGUCAGAAAUAAAUAUUGUCUCGUAUGUGCCCGAGCCGAAAAUAAAAAAACUGCAUCACAAGACCACUUGUGUUUCAAAA
Long non-coding RNA from Leptidea sinapis, 896 nucleotides. RefSeq lists it as uncharacterized. The transcript has 3 exons. The record is from RefSeq and is a predicted model, not a curated record. Lineage: Eukaryota; Metazoa; Arthropoda; Insecta; Lepidoptera; Pieridae.